This 275-nucleotide long non-coding RNA is filed under the name Amborella trichopoda. RNAcentral's name for it is "long non-coding RNA (ATRI_LNC002578)". The record is from RNAcentral. Lineage: Eukaryota; Viridiplantae; Streptophyta; Magnoliopsida; Amborellales; Amborellaceae.
UGGUGGGGUAAAUUUGUAAAUAUUACUACAAAGUAAAGGGUAUUUUUGUCAUCUCCAUAAGGGGUAAAAUUGAAAUUUUAACUAAAAGAAAAAGGCAUUAUACAAGUAAAAUUUCAAGGCACUAACUUCCAAAAUGCCAUUAUGCCUUUGUAAAAAUUUCAAAUUUGCCCUUGCUUAAUGGUAAAAUUACCUAUUUAAAUAAUUUUUUAAUAAAAAAUAAUGAUUGUUUUGAUAAAUACACCCAUCACAACCCCUUCUAACUUAAACUUUUGUAU